RNAcentral lists this transfer RNA (70 nucleotides) under Hodotermopsis sjostedti. RNAcentral describes it as "tRNA-Tyr". The record is from RNAcentral. Lineage: Eukaryota; Metazoa; Arthropoda; Insecta; Blattodea; Termopsidae.
AGUAGAAUGGCUGAGAAUAUUAUAGGUGAUAGAUUGUAAAUCUAUUGAGGGGUUAAAUACUCUUCUACUA